Bombyx mori (domestic silkworm) is the source of this 1137-nucleotide long non-coding RNA. RefSeq lists it as uncharacterized. The record is from RefSeq and is a predicted model, not a curated record. Lineage: Eukaryota; Metazoa; Arthropoda; Insecta; Lepidoptera; Bombycidae. The transcript is spliced from 2 exons.
AGGCUAUUUCAAUAUUACAAACAAACACUCCAAUUUUAUUUAUAUGUAUAGAUUAAGUUUUUACAGGAAAAUCCGUGGUAUCAAAAUGAUGAUGAUGAUACAGGAAAACGUAUAUAAUGAUUUGUCAUAUUAAAGAAUAUCGCAUUUGCGUUUGUUGGCGGUUAUUGGCUUGUCGUAUUUACCAAGAUGCAGUAUGUAACCUUGUUGACAUUAUUUGGCGUAGCGCUUCAAGCGUCGCUGGGAUGUGUACAAGAUGAACAGGGAGUACUUAACGACAGCAAUGACGGACAACCAAAAAACUUAAUAGAUUUUCUCGUAGCACCAGUAAUACAGAGAGAAAAACGCGCCAGCAUUCACGAAUUAGUACAAUGCCCGAUAGGUUAUGAUAUAAUAAUAUCAAAUGAUACCUUAACUUGCAUAGAAAAUGACGGUCUUGUUUAGUACCGAAGUAUUAAAAUAGACCGUGUCCUGUAGAACAAAUAAAAACGGUUAAUGUAAGAAAAUUUAAAGAUUUGAAAAAAAAAGUAUUAUAUUCGACUUCAAUAGUGUUUUUUUUUAUUGCUUAGAUGGGUGGACGAGCUCACAGCCCACCUGAUGUUAAGUGGUUACUGGAGCCCAUAGACAUCCACAACGCAAAUGCGCCACCCACCUUGAGACAUAAGUUCUAAGGUCUUAAGUAUAGUUACAACGGCUGCCCUACCCUUCAAACCGAAACGCAUUACUGCUUCACGGCAGAAAUAGGCAGGUUGGUGGUACCUACCCGCUCGGACUCACAAAUAUAUUAACUAGAUUCCGAUUUGAAAUUCUAAAAUAUUUAUUGGCAUUUUAGUUGAGACGCAUACCAUAGAAAACGCAUAGUUUAAAAUAAGCGUUUUUCACGUAUUUAGUAACACAUCUACAUUAUAAAACAAUCAAACCACGAUAGUAUUAGUAGUUUAUCGAACAACAAACAAACUAUGUUUUUUUUUAUCGUAUGUGUAUAUGCGCACAAAAACUACAAAAAAAAAAGAAAUCGGUCAACGAGCACUACUGCAACUGCACCGACACUUCUCUCGCAGCAACCUUACGCACAACCCCUGUGUACCUGUAUAUUGUCACGGCCGUUAUUUGAAAUAUAAUUUAGAAGGAAAAAUAAAA